GCCGGUGUAGCUCAGAGGCAAGAGCGCACGGCUCAUACCCGUGUCGUCUAGGGUUCGAGUCCCUACACCGGCA
RNAcentral lists this transfer RNA (73 nucleotides) under Candidatus Poribacteria bacterium. Its description in RNAcentral is "tRNA-Met". It matches the Rfam family "tRNA". From Rfam's summary of the family: Transfer RNA (tRNA) molecules are approximately 80 nucleotides in length. Their secondary structure includes four short double-helical elements and three loops (D, anti-codon, and T loops). The record is from RNAcentral. Lineage: Bacteria; Candidatus Poribacteria.